AGCGAACGCUGGCGGCGUGCCUAACACAUGCCAGUCGAACGUGAAAGGGAGCAAUCCCAAGUAAAGUGGCGUACGGGUGAGUAACACGUAGGUAAUCUACCCCAGAAUCUGGAAUAACCGGCCGAAAGGCUGGCUAAUACUGGAUAGAGCGACGGAAUCCGUAAUUGGGUUUUUCGGGAAAGGGAGCCUGUAAAAAGGCCUUCGUUCUGGGAUGAGCCUGCGUCCCAUCAGCUAGUUGGUGAGGUAAAAGCUUACCAAGGCAAUGACGGGUAGCUGGUCUGAGAGGACGAUCAGACACACUGGAACUGAAACACGGUCCAGACUCCUACGGGAGGCAGCAGUGGGGAAUCUUGCGCAAUGGACGAAAGUCUGACGCAGCAACGCCGCGUGAGUGAAGAAGGCCUUCGGGUUGUAAAGCUCUGUCGAGUGGGACGAAAAUGCUUGGAGUUCACAGCUCCAGGAACUGACGGUACCACUAAAGGAAGCACCGGCUAACUCCGUG
RNAcentral lists this ribosomal RNA (502 nucleotides) under uncultured bacterium. Its description in RNAcentral is "partial 16S ribosomal RNA". It matches the Rfam family "Bacterial small subunit ribosomal RNA", at positions 29 to 507 of the family's 1533-position model. The record is from RNAcentral.